Molecule: ribosomal RNA, 269 nt
Filed under: uncultured prokaryote
Description: partial 16S ribosomal RNA
Rfam family: Bacterial small subunit ribosomal RNA
Source: RNAcentral
UACGUAGGUGGCAAGCGUUAUCCGGAAUUAUUGGACGUAAAGAGCGCGCAGGUGGUUGAUUAAGUCUGAUGUGAAAGCCCACGGCUUAACCGUGGAGGGUCAUUGGAAACUGGUCGACUUGAGUGCAGAAGAGGGAAGUGGAAUUCCAUGUGUAGCGGUGAAGUGCGUAGAGGUAUGGAGGAACACCAGUGGCGAAGGCGGCUUCCUGGUCUGUAACUGACACUGAGGCGCGAAAGCGUGGGGAGCAAACAGGAUUAGAUACCCCCGUA